RNAcentral lists this long non-coding RNA (556 nucleotides) under Solanum tuberosum (potato). RNAcentral describes it as "long non-coding RNA (STUB_LNC003975)". Lineage: Eukaryota; Viridiplantae; Streptophyta; Magnoliopsida; Solanales; Solanaceae. The record is from RNAcentral.
UUUAAUAAAAGGUAACAUAUACUCUUCAUAUAAUUUUUUUAAUAAAUGUAAAAAGAGACGUAAAAGUUGUUAGUGCCAUCUCAUUCUCCCCAUUCACUGUUCACGGCCAAAAUCAACCGGAGAAGCCAUCGCCGUCGUCAUGGCCAUUUUUGCCGGCGAAAUCGCAAAUACUCUCGCCCUCACCUAUCUUCAUCUCCACCGCACACCAUCACCAUUUUCCUUUCCUCCUCCAACCUCCACAAAACGAACAACCUAAGCUACCGUAUCACUAGAUCUGACCGAGAAACCUCUUCGUCGCCAUGACCUCGCACCCUCACCCACCUAGUUCUCCUCUCUACUGACCAGUGCCGCCUUUCUCUCUCACUCUAUUGUGAAGCAGUGGUCUUCGGCGUGCACCACCAGCGCCGCUUUCUCCCUUCGCGGUUAAUCAGUGGACUCAAGAUGUGCCCUAAGAUCUGAUAAAUUAAUGUUAAUAGAUUGUGGAGAAGAAGAAAAAAAGGGAUGGGUAUGGAAUGAAAAUGGUUGAAAAGGACCAGAUAGUGGGUGAAGAAGAAGA